This 25-nucleotide non-coding RNA is filed under the name Rattus norvegicus (Norway rat). The record is from RNAcentral. Lineage: Eukaryota; Metazoa; Chordata; Mammalia; Rodentia; Muridae.
UGCUUUCCUUGGUUGUUUGCCUGAC